Molecule: ribosomal RNA, 204 nt
Filed under: Hypocreales sp.
Lineage: Eukaryota; Fungi; Ascomycota; Sordariomycetes; Hypocreales
Description: partial small subunit ribosomal RNA
Rfam family: Eukaryotic small subunit ribosomal RNA
Source: RNAcentral
AACGAGACCUUAAACAGCUAAAUAGCCCGCCUUACACUGGCAGUACGCUGACCACUUAGAGGGACUAUCGGCUCAAGCCGAUGGCCAUGUGCCCAAAUAACAGGUCUGUGAUGCCCUUAGAUGUUCUGGGCCGCACGCGCGCUACACUGACGGAGCCAGCGAGUUCACCCUUGACCGGAAGGUACGCGCAAGCUUGUGAAACUC